This is a long non-coding RNA of Alligator sinensis (Chinese alligator), 683 nucleotides long. RefSeq lists it as uncharacterized. The transcript has 2 exons. The record is from RefSeq and is a predicted model, not a curated record. NCBI's taxonomy places the organism in Eukaryota, Metazoa, Chordata, Crocodylia, Alligatoridae.
GGUUACUUCCCCGAAAAGACAGUGCAGGUUAAAAAGGAGGUGUUUCGUUGCGGUGAAAGGAGCUAGCAUGACAGCGACCUGUGUCUGUUUUCACUUUCUCAGCAAAUGGAAAGAAUCCUGAAGAAGGCUUCCAAGACCCACAAACAAAGAGUUGAGGAUUUUAACAGACACUUGGAUACUCUGACUGAACACUAUGACAUCCCCAAAGUCAGCUGGACUAAAUGAAUAGCUUUUCUUACUCAGCUCUGGAUUAUGAGAAGCAUUUAUAUUAGGAGGAUAUGCUUAGCAUAAAUUUCUGUGAUCUCUGCAUUGGAUACCUAAUUCAUUUUUUUUUUUAAACUUUUGCAUGCUGGCAGUACUCUUUAAGUGCUUGUUUAGAAGUAUGUACAGCACACCCCCACCUUUACUGAACAAUGAAUAAAGGCCCUAAUCCUCCAUUUAUCUGCAGAAGUCCCCUUUUUUAGAGUUUGUAGGAAAACUUCUGGAGAAAUUUCAUAUGUAGGGUGUAACGAUCACUGGUUGACAGAGCCUUCUUUUGAAACAAAUGUUUUUGACAGUCUGAUUUUAGAUGCAGACAAGUUACCUUAUUGAAUUGUUCCUCCCUGGGUACUAUAAACCUCUCUGUAAUCUGUUUAUAACUUUUCUAGAAACUCUAGAAGGUCAAAUAAAAACUGCAUUUAAAA